This 392-nucleotide ribosomal RNA is filed under the name uncultured Gammaproteobacteria bacterium. RNAcentral describes it as "bacterial SSU rRNA". It matches the Rfam family "Bacterial small subunit ribosomal RNA", at positions 370 to 779 of the family's 1533-position model. The record is from RNAcentral. Lineage: Bacteria; Pseudomonadati; Pseudomonadota; Gammaproteobacteria.
AAUGGGCGCAAGCCUGAUCCAGCCAUGCCGCGUGAGUGAUGAAGGCCUUAGGGUCGUAAAGCUCUUUCGCCAGGGAUGAUAAUGACAGUACCUGGUAAAGAAACCCCGGCUAACUCCGUGCCAGCAGCCGCGGUAAUACGGAGGGGGUUAGCGUUGUUCGGAAUUACUGGGCGUAAAGCGCACGUAGGCGGACUGGAAAGUUAGGGGUGAAAUCCCGGGGCUCAACCCCGGAACUGCCUCUAAAACUAUCAGUCUAGAGUUCGAGAGAGGUGAGUGGAAUUCCGAGUGUAGAGGUGAAAUUCGUAGAUAUUCGGAGGAACACCAGUGGCGAAGGCGGCUCACUGGCUCGAUACUGACGCUGAGGUGCGAAAGUGUGGGGAGCAAACAGGAUU